RNAcentral lists this ribosomal RNA (433 nucleotides) under uncultured bacterium. Its description in RNAcentral is "bacterial SSU rRNA". It matches the Rfam family "Bacterial small subunit ribosomal RNA", at positions 29 to 507 of the family's 1533-position model. The record is from RNAcentral.
AACGAACGCUGGCGGCAUGCCUAAUACAUGCAAGUCGAACGAAGGCUUCGGCCUUAGUGGCGCACGGGUGCGUAACGCGUGGGAAUCUACCCUUGGGUUCGGAAUAACAGUUAGAAAUGACUGCUAAUACCGGAUGAUGACGUAAGUCCAAAGAUUUAUCGCCCAAGGAUGAGCCCGCGUAAGAUUAGCUAGUUGGUGAGGUAAAGGCUCACCAAGGCUACGAUCUUUAGCUGGUCUGAGAGGAUGAUCAGCCACACUGGGACUGAGACACGGCCCAGACUCCUACGGGAGGCAGCAGUAGGGAAUAUUGGACAAUGGGCGAAGGCCUGAUCCAGCAAUGCCGCGUGAGUGAUGAAGGCCUUAGGGUUGUAAAGCUCUUUUACCCGAGAUGAUAAUGACAGUAUCGGGAGAAUAAGCUCCGGCUAACUCCGUG